Molecule: ribosomal RNA, 439 nt
Filed under: uncultured bacterium
Lineage: Bacteria
Description: partial 16S ribosomal RNA
Rfam family: Bacterial small subunit ribosomal RNA
Source: RNAcentral
CUACGGGGGGCAGCAGUGAGGAAUAUUGCACAAUGGGGGGAACCCUGAUGCAGCAACGCCGCGUGGAGGAUGACGCAUUUCGGUGUGUAAACUCCUUUUAUAUGUCAAGAAAAUGACGGUAGCAUAUGAAUAAGCACCGGCUAACUCCGUGCCAGCAGCCGCGGUAAUACGGAGGGUGCAAGCGUUACUCGGAAUCACUGGGCGUAAAGGACGCGUAGGCGGGUUGGAAAGUCAGGUGUGAAAUCCUACAGCUUAACUGUAGAACUGCACUUGAAACUUCUAAUCUAGAGUAUGGGAGGGGGAGAUGGAAUUAGUGGUGUAGGGGUAAAAUCCGUAGAUAUCACUAGGAAUACCUAAAGCGAAGGCGAUCUCCUGGAACAUUACUGACGCUAAGGCGUGAAAGCGUGGGGAGCAAACAGGAUUAGAUACCCCAGUAGUC